Molecule: ribosomal RNA, 253 nt
Filed under: uncultured bacterium
Lineage: Bacteria
Description: partial 16S ribosomal RNA
Rfam family: Bacterial small subunit ribosomal RNA
Source: RNAcentral
UACGGAGGGGGUUAGCGUUGUUCGGAAUGACUGGGCGUAGAGCGCGCGUAGGCGGGCUGGAAAGUUGGGGGUGAAAUCCCGGGGCUCAACCCCGGAAUGGCCUUCAAAACUCCCAGCCUAGAGUUCGAGAGAGGUGAGUGGAAUUCCGAGUGUAGAGGUGAAAUUCGUAGAUAUUCGGAGGAACACCAGUGGCGAAGGCGGCUCACUGGCUCGACACUGACGCUGAGGUGCGAAAGCGUGGGGAGCAAACAGG